Molecule: ribosomal RNA, 422 nt
Filed under: uncultured bacterium
Lineage: Bacteria
Description: partial 16S ribosomal RNA
Rfam family: Bacterial small subunit ribosomal RNA
Source: RNAcentral
AUCUUCCACAAUGGGCGAAAGCCUGAUGGAGCAACGCCGCGUGAGUGAAGAAGGUUUUCGGAUCGUAAAACUCUGUUGUAAGGGAAGAACAAGUACAGAAGUCACUGGCUUUCCCUUGACGUUACCUUAUUAGAAAGCCACGGCUAACUACUUCCCCGCAGCCGCGGUAAUCCGUCGGUGGCAAGGGUUGUCCGGAAGUAUGGGGCGGAAAGCGCGCGCAGGCGGUCCUUUAAGUCUGAUGUGAAAGCCCACGGCUCAACCGUGGAGGGUCAUUGGAAACUGGGGGACUUGAGUGCAGAAGAGGAAAGUGGAAUUCCAAGUGUAGCGGUGAAAUGCGUAGAGAUUUGGAGGAACACCAGUGGCGAAGGCGACUUUCUGGUCUGUAACUGACGCUGAGGCGCGAAAGCGUGGGGAGCAAACAG